Molecule: long non-coding RNA, 1095 nt
Organism: Xiphophorus couchianus (Monterrey platyfish)
Lineage: Eukaryota; Metazoa; Chordata; Actinopteri; Cyprinodontiformes; Poeciliidae
Exons: 2
Source: RefSeq, a predicted model, not a curated record
CCAGGUGCUGCCGGGACAUAUUUUCCAGUGGUAGCAGUGUCCUCCUGCCCAUGGCCGCCCACAGCCGCCCCCGCUGCAUCGACUCACUGCGGCAUAAAUGAAGCAAACGGCUCUGAGCGUCCAGCACAAGCACAACGACGCUUCGCUGCAGAACUGCAGAGCAGCUGAAGGCGGAGAGGGAGCGCAGCCUCCGGUGGUUUCAGGGUUCAUCUGCUGAAAUCAAGACUGCUGUGGAGCUACAAAAGCCUCAACGUUUUACCAGAACAUAUAUUCCUGCAGUAAGCUGCCAGGUAGACUCCAGAGGAGCGACAACCAAGAUUCUAAUAUAAAUGUGAAUUUAAUUUGUUAUUGUCACUCACUGAUUGUAUUUCUUCAUUACUUGUUGGUUCCAGCAAGAAAAUUUGAAAACUUGUUUAUAUUAAAUGCAGAAAAGCCCAUAUUUAGGUAAUGAUUGAAAAACAUUCCAAAUAUGAACAAAUUAUUGAAUUGCAAACCUUGUUCCAAGAUGUUUUCCCUUAUUACCUGUUGUUUUUGUCAGCUAAUAGAUUCCAGUGAAUCUACUAAAGCAACAUUACUCACUGUUGCUUUCAGAACAUCAAAUGACUAACAGGUGAGAAUGAACCUGGAGAUUAUUGACUAUGUUGAAACAUUCUCAAUAUGGAGUUUCAUUUUUCAUUUACACCCAUAAAAGCUGAAGUAAUUAUCUAGCUUCUCUUGUAAAAGUGCUAAUAGAGAUGACAGAAAAAGGGUUCUCUGGAGAAGAGAAUCCACAAGUUAGUGUGGCUUUUUCAAAGACAACAUAUUGUGCCUAAAAUCAGUGUCUUGUUUCAUUAAGUUAGUGCUUGUAGCUGAUGUAAUUUGCUGUGGAACAGGGCAGCUUGCCCUGCCAGUAGAGAAGUCAUAUCCAAUCACAGAGCAGCUAAUUGACAGUCUCAUGUGGGGAGAACAGCUAAUUGAUUAUAGGCCUGUCCUGUUCUGAAGCGCCAGGGGACCAAUGGCAGUGGACUCUGGGAAGGUUUGGAUCUGCACACACUAAUUACACAGACUUUGGGUAUUUUUCUUUUUUUCAGAAAUAAAGAGAGACAGCUUUUACUA